Molecule: long non-coding RNA, 729 nt
Filed under: Pan troglodytes (chimpanzee)
Lineage: Eukaryota; Metazoa; Chordata; Mammalia; Primates; Hominidae
Description: lncRNA (ENSPTRG00000053612.1)
Source: RNAcentral
AUUAGAGUAACAAGAUAUUGAUUGAGUUUAUUAAGCUGUGAAAAGUGUUGAAUAAUAGCAAGAGACAGUGUUGUUUGUCUUAGAAGCUGGAAGAGCUAAAGCCUCAAGUAUGGGCCAUCACCCUCCAAGAUAGAGCCAGUGCCUGGAGCAGAAGGGGACAGGCAGGGAAGGUCCUGGGAACCCCAAGAAAAGAGGUGGAGAAAGGCACGGAGAGAACCCCAGGAUCCAUCUGGCAGAAGAUCCCAGGAGAAAAAGCAGAUUAUGCAAACGCGUCUCCAUGAGGAAGAGCAAGGCUCCUGCAGGACGGAGAUCAGAUGGAUCAGCGAUCCCAGACAGAACCUUUUGCCUGAUAUGAGCACCCUUGGGAGAGACCUCUUCACACAAAAGUUCCUUGCAAGGAAAACACUCCUGCCUCACUUUCUUCAACCCAGCCAUGACCUUUCUUGGGACAGGGUCACACCAGGGUUACAGCAUCUGCCUCCCAGCCUCCCAGCUGGCCAGUCCUUCUGCAGUGGCUCAGCCGCAGACCCCUCCUGCACACCACAGCCAAAAACGAUUCUGCGAGGACUACAUCAUCCCGUGAAACUGACGCUUAAUGAUGCAGAACUCCACGUUUCCUGUCCUCAACUUGUCAUCAUUUUCCUUCCCAGAACCCCCAGCACCUCUGACACCGACCUGGAUCUCUACUCCAGAAACUCAAAACCCAUUUUUGCCACACCGUCACACUAG